This 514-nucleotide ribosomal RNA is filed under the name Enterococcus faecium. RNAcentral describes it as "bacterial SSU rRNA". It matches the Rfam family "Bacterial small subunit ribosomal RNA", at positions 147 to 647 of the family's 1533-position model. The record is from RNAcentral. Lineage: Bacteria; Bacillati; Bacillota; Bacilli; Lactobacillales; Enterococcaceae.
CACUUGGAAACGGGUGCUAAUACCGUAUAACAAUCUAAACCGCAAGGUUUUGAUUUGAAAGGCGCUUUCGGGUGUCGCUGAUGGAUGGACCCGCGGUGCAAUAGCUAGUUGGUGAGGUAACGGCUCACCAAGGCCACGAUGCAUAGCCGACCUGAGAGGGUGAUCGGCCACAUUGGGACUGAGACACGGCCCAAACUCCUACGGGAGGCAACAGUAGGGAAUCUUCGGCAAUGGACGAAAGUCUGACCGAACAACGCCCCGUGAGUGAAGAAGGUUUUCGGAUCGUAAAACUCUGUUGUUAGAGAACAACAAGGAUGAGAGUAACUGUUCAUCCCUUGACGGUAUCUAACCAGAAAGCCACGGCUAACUACGUGCCAGCAGCCGCGGUAAUACGUAGGUGGCAAGCGUUGUCCGGAUUUAUUGGGCGUAAAGCGAGCGCAGGCGGUUUCUUAAGUCUGAUGUGAAAGCCCCCGGCUCAACCGGGGAGGGUCAUUGGAAACUGGGAGACUUGAAU